RNAcentral lists this long non-coding RNA (1219 nucleotides) under Sinocyclocheilus grahami. Its description in RNAcentral is "lncRNA (ENSSGRG00000030460.1)". The record is from RNAcentral. Lineage: Eukaryota; Metazoa; Chordata; Actinopteri; Cypriniformes; Cyprinidae.
ACCCAAUCAAUGACACUGAACACACACCUUCACACUUUCUCAUCAGUGCCAGAACGUCCAGCUUCAGCAGGAUGCAGAAGAGCAGAGGAGGAUGUUUGAGGAGCUGCAGGGCAUCCAGAACAUCCUCAGCACCACCAAACAAGAGCUGCUGUCCCAGAGGAGAAACAACACACGACUGCACAACAACAUCUCUGACGCCGAGCAGGAAAACCUCAGGGUACCUGAUGCAGAUCGGACCAUUUAUAUAGUGUCUUGAACUGACAUCAGUGUUGCUGAGGGAAUCUCGAAUGUUCUUUAGUCAGCAGGUUGCAAUAUGAAGUUGUACAUACUGAUACUGUAUUAGCUUGUGUACUAAUUCAAAAUGACUUUUGUUUGCUGUACGAGCAGCUCCAACAAAACACCGAAGACUUGAGGAACAGACUAACCAGCAGUCAACAGGAGACUGACUCUCUGAGGACAGAACUUCAGCUAGCUCUAGUUAGCGUGGACGCUGAGAGGAGUAAAUACAACGACAAGCGAAUCCACUACAAAAACAAGCUGAGCCGGGCCAGAGGGCUUUACAUGAGAGAGACAGGGUGGCGUGACGAAAAAAUAAAAGACUUGGAGAAAGAGAUUUUUAUUUCCAGGAAACAGGAGGAAAAGGUGCAGUAACUUGGCAGACUGGGUAAUAAAAUCUUAAAGACUGUGUCACCUUUAAAUGAUGAUGCCUGCUCCUCAUCAGGCGUCACACAUGAUGAAGAUGGUCACGUCUGAAAACGAGAGUCUGCUUCAGAAGAACAGAGAGCUUCUUUUACAGCUGCACGACUUCGAAGAGGCACAGAAAAAUGCUUCGGAUGCAGUUGCCUCCAUGCAGAUGAGGAUAAAUUUGCUUGAAGAAGAGAAUAUUCAGCUUCAGCAGACGACGGCACAAAUGUCAGAGCACAUCGAGUGCCUGACGAUACUAGCCGAGACGAACUGCGACGUAAGUACAACUUUUAAACAAGAACAUUCAUUUCAAUGUCAUUUACAGGUCAACAGCGUAAGAACGCUGAUGGCUUAGGUUGUGUAUGAGCAGUCUAAUGAAUUGUGUUCACAUUCUACUGUAGGAAGUCACUGCCGAGAGUCGCGUCAUCGAGGGCGAAGACCAAGCUACUCUACCUACAUGAAUAUCUUUUUCUUUUCAGUGUAAACUCAAUUCUUUUUGUAAACCUAAAUAUUUCAAAAUAAAUUUCUCAUCCCA